This 450-nucleotide ribosomal RNA is filed under the name uncultured bacterium. RNAcentral's name for it is "partial 16S ribosomal RNA". It matches the Rfam family "Bacterial small subunit ribosomal RNA", at positions 354 to 796 of the family's 1533-position model. The record is from RNAcentral.
GUGGGGAAUAUUGGACAAUGGGCGCAAGCCUGAUCCAGCAAUGCCGCGUGGGUGAAGAAGGCCUUCGGGUUGUAAAGCCCUUUUGUACGGAAAGAAAUCCUGGUGGUUAAUACCCGCCGGGGAUGACGGUACCGUAAGAAUAAGCACCGGCUAACUUCGUGCCAGCAGCCGCGGUAAUACGAAGGGUGCAAGCGUUAAUCGGAAUUACUGGGCGUAAAGCGUGCGUAGGUGGUUUCUUAAGUCUGUCGUGAAAGCCCUGGGCUCAACCUGGGAAUGGCGAUGGAUACUGGGAGGCUAGAGUGCGGUAGAGGAUGGCGGAAUUCCCGGUGUAGCGGUGAAAUGCGUAGAGAUCGGGAGGAACAUCUGUGGCGAAGGCGGCCAUCUGGCCUAAUACUGACACUGAGGUGCGAAAGCAUGGGGAGCAAACAGGAUUAGAUACCCCGGUAGUCC